RNAcentral lists this transfer RNA (73 nucleotides) under Stegodyphus mimosarum. It matches the Rfam family "tRNA". From Rfam's summary of the family: Transfer RNA (tRNA) molecules are approximately 80 nucleotides in length. Their secondary structure includes four short double-helical elements and three loops (D, anti-codon, and T loops). The record is from Rfam by way of RNAcentral. Lineage: Eukaryota; Metazoa; Arthropoda; Arachnida; Araneae; Eresidae.
GCCUUUGUGGUGCAGUUGGAAGCAUACUCGUCGUAUAUUCGAGAGGUCCAGGGUUCGAGUCCCGGUGAGCGCU